UACGGAGGGUGCAAGCGUUGUUCGGAAUUAUUGGGCGUAAAGCGCACGUAGGCGGGGUCGUAUGUCGAUUGUGAAAGCCCCAGGCUCAACCUGGGAAUUGCAGCCGAAACUGCGACUCUUGAAUAUCUGAGAGGGUGGGGGAAUUGCUGGUGGAGUAGUGAAAUACGUAGAGAUCAGCAGGAACACCUGAGGCGAAGGCGCCUGCCUGGCAGAAUAUUGACGCUGAGGUGCGAAAGCGUGGGGAGCAAACAGG
This 253-nucleotide ribosomal RNA is filed under the name uncultured bacterium. RNAcentral's name for it is "partial 16S ribosomal RNA". It matches the Rfam family "Bacterial small subunit ribosomal RNA", at positions 524 to 776 of the family's 1533-position model. The record is from RNAcentral.